CACAGGUGUGGACGUCUCAGUGCUUGUGGUAGCAGUGUUGGUGGUAGUCAUGGGAGCAGAGGCACUGGUGCUGGUGGGAGCAGUGGUGCUGGUACUCGUGGUAGCAGUGGCGCUGGUGCUUGUGGGUGCAGUGGCACUGGUGCUCGUGGUAGCAGUGGUGCUGCUACUCAUGGGAGUAGUGGCGCUGGUGCUGGUGAGAGCAGAGGCGCUGGUAGUCGUGGUAGCAGUGGCGCUGGUGCUUGUGUGUGCAGUGGCACUGGUGCUCGUGAGAGCAGUGGUGCUGGUGCUCACGGGAGAAGUAGUUAUUGUACUCACAGGUGUGGACGUCUCAGUGCUUGUGGUA
This 343-nucleotide long non-coding RNA is filed under the name Anas platyrhynchos platyrhynchos (common mallard). RNAcentral's name for it is "lncRNA (ENSAPLG00000028549.1)". The record is from RNAcentral. Lineage: Eukaryota; Metazoa; Chordata; Aves; Anseriformes; Anatidae.